Molecule: long non-coding RNA, 201 nt
Filed under: Lathyrus oleraceus (garden pea)
Lineage: Eukaryota; Viridiplantae; Streptophyta; Magnoliopsida; Fabales; Fabaceae
Description: Pisum sativum (pea) long non-coding RNA (PSAT_LNC007731)
Source: RNAcentral
UCAUAGUGGGGAUACACAUGAGAACCUUACAACUUUCCACUUUUCCUAUUUCAACACUUGUGGGAUUAAAGAAACUUUUCUUCCUUUUCUUAUUCGUCUAUAGUUUUCCCACUCGCUGACAUAUUUUCUAUGUAGGUCUUCGUUUCAGGUUUAUUCUCAUUGCCUCUUUAUCACGUGAAUCCUCAUCUUUGACUCUUUCUA